UCUAUCUAUCUAAUCAUCUAUCUGUCUAUAUCUAUCUAUGGAGAUAGGUAAAUAGAUAGAUGAUAGAUAGAUAGA
Non-coding RNA from Podarcis lilfordi (Lilford's wall lizard), 75 nucleotides. NCBI's taxonomy places the organism in Eukaryota, Metazoa, Chordata, Lepidosauria, Squamata, Lacertidae. The record is from the annotation of a GenBank genome assembly.